This is a long non-coding RNA of Hyla sarda, 1181 nucleotides long. RefSeq lists it as uncharacterized. The record is from RefSeq and is a predicted model, not a curated record. The transcript is spliced from 3 exons. Lineage: Eukaryota; Metazoa; Chordata; Amphibia; Anura; Hylidae.
CCUGACAAUCGUUCUAAUGAUAAAUUAAGAUUUUAGUUUAGCUACUACUUUUUAUGUUUUUAACAUAGCAAAGAUGCCUGAGAGUCAGAAUUAUCUGUUUACUGAUUACAAGAUUUGUAACGAUUGUUUUGUUCUUUACUGAGCCAGGGAAGGAUAAAGCUGCAUGCUAUAGACACUUAGAACAAGUGGCAAGGACCAAAAACCUUGAUCUUCAGUAGCCAAUUGCCUUAUAAAACUGGUACAGCUACAAAACCAGAGAAGGAGACUGCAGGCCAUGGAAGAAAACUGGAACAAGGGAAGGAAGUGUUGCCUAGCAACUGGGCAUGGCCAGUGGGCAUUUGCAUAUGUACAGAGAUAUUGCUACACAACCUGGUUAAUCCACUGUCUGACAUUUAUUAUAGUAUUGUAGUAUAUAGUAUCCCAAGGAAGAGUCCAAGACAAUGAGGAAUUUCUAAACUUUGAACACAAACUACACUACAUGAUCUGUAACCAUGUGAGCUCGGAGACCAUGAAGAAAGUCUUGGCCAGGUGAGGAGCGAAGAGAUCUACCACCACCCAGAUGGCAGCAAGUAUACAGUUUGGAUGAAUAACAUGAACAAGAUCCAGAUGUGUCAAGAGUCCUUGACUGCAUUAAGAUUCUUGUUGGCUGGAAGACAAGGAAAACACUACACCUACUCCAAAUGAUGAGGUAUCAACCUUAGGAAGAAUGGAAAUUUGUAAUCCUGAUAAUGAAAAGCUGGGACAGAAGAUGACUGAAGGCCUAAACUGCAGAAGUUGGCUAAUCUUGGAAGGGAGGGGGAAUGGCCGUCCUGCCCCCUCCCAUAGACAUGAAUGGAGGGGGCAUGGUGUGACAUCACAAGGGGGCGUGGUUUUACAUCACGUCUCCAGUCCUGGAUACUCAGAGGUUUCCGAGAAUAGAGCAGCAGCCAGCACAGAAUUCCGGGUGCUGCACAGAGAUCGAGGGGGGGGUCCACGUGUUAAGUCAUCUUAUCCCCUAUCCUUUGGAUAGUGGAUAAGAUGUCUAUGGGUGGCGUACCCCUUUAGUACAGCCCUGAGAUUACCAGAAGCGGAUACCUAUUUCACUUUGACUUCAUUUAUGUAAAAGGAUCCAUCUUUUUUGUAACCAUAAAAAAUUUGUCUCCAGGAGAUAUAAUGGACACCCUAAUAAAACAUCUCAAGAU